Molecule: ribosomal RNA, 256 nt
Filed under: uncultured bacterium
Lineage: Bacteria
Description: partial 16S ribosomal RNA
Rfam family: Bacterial small subunit ribosomal RNA
Source: RNAcentral
UAAGACGUAGGGGGCAAGCGUUGUCCGGAAUUACUGGGCGUAAAGGGUGCGUAGGCGGCAAUUCAAGUCUGAUGUGAAAUACCCGUGCUUAACAUGGGUCUUGCAUCGGAAACUGAAUAGCUAGAGUGCAGGAGAGGUAAGCGGAAUUCCUAGUGUAGCGGUGAAAUGCAUAGAUAUUAGGAGGAACACCAGUGGCGAAGGCGGCUUACUGGACUGUAACUGACGCUGAAGCACGAAAGCGUGGGGAGCAAACAGG